RNAcentral lists this ribosomal RNA (1173 nucleotides) under Curtobacterium oceanosedimentum. Its description in RNAcentral is "bacterial SSU rRNA". It matches the Rfam family "Bacterial small subunit ribosomal RNA", at positions 257 to 1442 of the family's 1533-position model. The record is from RNAcentral. Lineage: Bacteria; Bacillati; Actinomycetota; Actinomycetes; Micrococcales; Microbacteriaceae.
GUAAUGGCUCACCAAGGCGACGACGGGUAGCCGCCUGAGAGGGUGACCGGCCACACUGGGACUGAGACACGGCCCAGAUUCCUACGGGAGGCAGCAGUGGGGAAUAUUGCACAAUGGGCGAAAGCCUGAUGCAGCAACGCCGCGUGAGGGAUGACGGCCUUCGGGUUGUAAACCUCUUUUAGUAGGGAAGAAGCGAAAGUGACGGUACCUGCAGAAAAAGCACCGGCUAACUACGUGCCAGCAGCCGCGGUAAUACGUAGGGUGCAAGCGUUGUCCGGAAUUAUUGGGCGUAAAGAGCUCGUAGGCGGUUUGUCGCGUCUGCUGUGAAAUCCCGAGGCUCAACCUCGGGCUUGCAGUGGGUACGGGCAGACUAGAGUGCGGUAGGGGAGAUUGGAAUUCCUGGUGUAGCGGUGGAAUGCGCAGAUAUCAGGAGGAACACCGAUGGCGAAGGCAGAUCUCUGGGCCGUAACUGACGCUGAGGAGCGAAAGCAUGGGGAGCGAACAGGAUUAGAUACCCUGGUAGUCCAUGCCGUAAACGUUGGGCGCUAGAUGUAGGGACCUUUCCACGGUUUCUGUGUCGUAGCUAACGCAUUAAGCGCCCCGCCUGGGGAGUACGGCCGCAAGGCUAAAACUCAAAGGAAUUGACGGGGGCCCGCACAAGCGGCGGAGCAUGCGGAUUAAUUCGAUGCAACGCGAAGAACCUUACCAAGGCUUGACAUACACCGGAAACGGCCAGAGAUGGUCGCCCCCUUGUGGUCGGUGUACAGGUGGUGCAUGGUUGUCGUCAGCUCGUGUCGUGAGAUGUUGGGUUAAGUCCCGCAACGAGCGCAACCCUCGUUCUAUGUUGCCAGCGGGUUAUGCCGGGGACUCAUAGGAGACUGCCGGGGUCAACUCGGAGGAAGGUGGGGAUGACGUCAAAUCAUCAUGCCCCUUAUGUCUUGGGCUUCACGCAUGCUACAAUGGCCGGUACAAAGGGCUGCGAUACCGUAAGGUGGAGCGAAUCCCAAAAAGCCGGUCUCAGUUCGGAUUGAGGUCUGCAACUCGACCUCAUGAAGUCGGAGUCGCUAGUAAUCGCAGAUCAGCAACGCUGCGGUGAAUACGUUCCCGGGCCUUGUACACACCGCCCGUCAAGUCAUGAAAGUCGGUAACACCCGAAGCCGGUGGCCUAACCCU